This is a non-coding RNA of Caenorhabditis elegans, 147 nucleotides long. The record is from Ensembl. Lineage: Eukaryota; Metazoa; Nematoda; Chromadorea; Rhabditida; Rhabditidae.
GCGGGUGAGGAAGUGUGCAAACCUGAGGCGUCAAGUGGAGAGAGCGACAAGGUGUUCGCACACACGAUCGACUUGUCGCCACGGACGAUCUCUACGGGGAGCGCACACUGUCUACUGUAGUGAGUGACCGAGUAACAAACAACAACA